AUAUAGUGGCGAUAUUUUUGAAAGUAACCACAUCUGGAUACCAGCUUACUAUUUGAAAAGGUCAUCUUAUCCUGCAUUACAUAUUCUGCAUAUGUUCUGGAGUCUUGUCGGAUCAAAAAUGGUGAAAUUAGUACUACUGGGUGUUUUGGGUUUGAGCCUCUUGUUAGACCACGUUGCAAGUCAAGCAGGAAGAGGAAAUGGGACGCGACCGAUCAUCCCGCGACCGCUGCUUCCGUGUGGAUGCCCGAAAACACAAUUGUGCAAUGAGACCUGCAAAAAACAGGAUAACAAAAAAGGACGUUGCCGUGGAAAAUUCUGUUUGUGCCAGGAUAAGCGGGACAAAUGGUCACCUAUCCAAACGUGUUAAGCCAAAAAUCGGCUUAAGAUGCAAAAUCCUUCUGCAAGCCCAUAUGGACUUCUUUGUCAGUUCCCUGCACGGCUCCCCAGUCAUCUUUAAAUUGUGGCUAGUAACUGCAAAACAUAAUACUGGCUUUUUUUAGCAUUGCUUACUUUUUUUAGCUUACAUUUAUAUUGGUUUUUGCUGCGUAAGUAACGCACGAACUUUGCCGGCUUUUUGGUGAAGCUAUCACGGAAUUUUUAAAAUGAAUAUAAUACAUAUGUUUUGUGUGCAGCCACAAUGCGGAUAAAUAAAGGUAUAUAUUAGG
Molecule: long non-coding RNA, 665 nt
Organism: Paramacrobiotus metropolitanus
Lineage: Eukaryota; Metazoa; Tardigrada; Eutardigrada; Parachela; Macrobiotidae
Exons: 2
Source: RefSeq, a predicted model, not a curated record